UAAUACGAAGGGGGCUAGCGUUGCUCGGAAUCACUGGGCGUAAAGCGCACGUAGGCGGCUUUCUAAGUCAGGGGUGAAAUCCUGGAGCUCAACUCCAGAACUGCCUUUGAUACUGGAGAGCUUGAGUCCGGAAGAGGUGAGUGGAACUCCGAGUGUAGAGGUGAAAUUCGUAGAUAUUCGGAAGAACACCAGUGGCGAAGGC
This 202-nucleotide ribosomal RNA is filed under the name uncultured bacterium. RNAcentral describes it as "partial 16S ribosomal RNA". It matches the Rfam family "Bacterial small subunit ribosomal RNA", at positions 521 to 722 of the family's 1533-position model. The record is from RNAcentral.